This 301-nucleotide ribosomal RNA is filed under the name uncultured bacterium. Its description in RNAcentral is "partial 16S ribosomal RNA". It matches the Rfam family "Bacterial small subunit ribosomal RNA", at positions 509 to 807 of the family's 1533-position model. The record is from RNAcentral.
CAGCCGCCGCGGUAACACGUAGGUGGCAAGCGUUGUCCGGAAUUAUUGGGCGUAAAGGGUGUGCAGACGGCUUAUUAAGUCACUUGUUAAAUUCUUCGGCCUAACUGAAGGUCUGCAAGUGAUACUGAUGAGCUAGAGGGUGGAAGAGAGAAGUGGAAUUCUCGGAGUAGCGGUAAAAUGCGUAGAUCUCGAGAGGAACACCAAUGGCGAAGGCAGCUUCUUGGUCCAUUCCUGACGUUCAUACACGAAAGCGUGGGGGGCAAACAGGAUUAGAUACCCCGGUAGUCCCUGUCUCUUAUAC